CUGAAGUGAUUUGGGGAUGUUGCUGGCCUUUUAUUUGAGGCAUUGUGCACUCUCUAAAGCAAUUCACGAUUUCCAUCACACCCUUGUGCACAUCCUGUAGGGUGCCCCUGCUCACCUCUUGGUGGGAGGGUGUCCUAUGUUAUUUCUGCCAUCUCACACGUUAUGAAUGCACCUUGUCGAUUAUUUGUAUAAAGUAAUCAUUAAAA
RNAcentral lists this unclassified non-coding RNA (206 nucleotides) under uncultured fungus. RNAcentral's name for it is "sequence contains ITS1, 5.8S rRNA gene". Lineage: Eukaryota; Fungi. The record is from RNAcentral.